This 687-nucleotide ribosomal RNA is filed under the name uncultured bacterium. RNAcentral's name for it is "bacterial SSU rRNA". It matches the Rfam family "Bacterial small subunit ribosomal RNA", at positions 60 to 710 of the family's 1533-position model. The record is from RNAcentral.
AGUCGAACGGAAGUCGUUGUAAUGAAAUGGAAAUGGACAGAGAACUUGUUCGAAGAAAGUUGAAGUAGACUUACAACAAUGGCUUUAGUGGCGGACUGGUGAGUAACGCGUAAGGAACCUGCCUUUUAGAGGGGAAUAACAAUGAGAAAUCAUUGCUAAUACCGCAUAUGCCGAGAGAAUCACAUGGUACAAUCGGGAAAGGAGCAAUUCGCUAAAAGAUGGCCUUGCGUCUGAUUAGAUAGUUGGUGGGGUAACGGCCUACCAAGUCGACGAUCAGUAGCCGGACUGAGAGGUUGAACGGCCACAUUGGGACUGAGAUACGGCCCAGACUCCUACGGGAGGCAGCAGUCGGGAAUAUUGCGCAAUGGAGGAAACUCUGACGCAGUGACGCCGCGUAUAGGAAGAAGGUUUUCGGAUUGUAAACUAUUGUCGUUAGGGAAGAGAAAGGACAGUACCUAAGGAGGAAGCUCCGGCUAACUACGUGCCAGCAGCCGCGGUAAUACGUAGGGAGCGAGCGUUAUCCGGAAUUAUUGGGUGUAAAGGGUGCGUAGACGGGAAGAUAAGUUAGUUGUGAAAUCCCUCGGCUUAACUGAGGAACUGCAACUAAAACUGUUUUUCUUGAGUGCAGGAGAGGUAAGUGGAAUUCCUAGUGUAGCGGUGAAAUGCGUAGAUAUUAGGAGGAACACC